AGCGAACGCUGGCGGCAGGCUUAACACAUGCAAGUCGAACGGGCAUCUUCGGAUGUCAGUGGCAGACGGGUGAGUAACACGGGGGAACGUACCCUUCGGUUCGGAAUAACUCAGGGAAACGUGAGCUAAUACCGGAUACGCCCUUGUGGGGAAAGGUUUACUGCCGAAGGAUCGGCCCGCGUCUGAUUAGCUUGUUGGUGGGGUAACGGCCUACCAAGGCGACGAUCAGUAGCUGGUCUGAGAGGAUGAUCAGCCACACUGGGACUGAGACACGGCCCAGACUCCUACGGGAGGCAGCAGUGGGGAAUAUUGGACAAUGGGCGCAAGCCUGAUCCAGCCAUGCCGCGUGAGUGAUGAAGGCCUUAGGGUUGUAAAGCUCUUUUGUCCGGGACGAUAAUGACGGUACCGGAAGAAUAAGCCCCGGCUAACUUCGUG
RNAcentral lists this ribosomal RNA (435 nucleotides) under uncultured bacterium. RNAcentral's name for it is "partial 16S ribosomal RNA". It matches the Rfam family "Bacterial small subunit ribosomal RNA", at positions 29 to 507 of the family's 1533-position model. The record is from RNAcentral.